GAAUGAAAAUAGGACUAAAGUUUGACUUUGUGAGUGUGUACCAGGAAGAACACAGAGUGAGGAGGAUGUGGUGAUUGAAGACUUUGAGGAAGAUUCAGAGGCUGAAGGCAGCGGAGGCGAGGAUGACAUCAGGGAACUUCGGGCCAAGAAGCUGGCUCUGGCCAGGAAGAUAGCUGAGCAGCAGCGUCGCCAGGAAAAGAUCCAGGCUGUCCUAGAGGACCACAGUCAGAUGAGGCAGAUGGAGCUCGAAAUCAGACCUUUGUUCCUCGUACCAGACACCAACGGCUUCAUUGACCACCUGGCCAGUCUGGCGCGGCUGCUGGAGAGCAGGAAGUACAUCCUGGUGGUGCCCCUCAUCGUGAUCAAUGAGCUGGACGGCCUGGCCAAGGGGCAGGAGACAGACCACCGGGCUGGGGGCUACGCCCGUGUGGUACAAGAAAAGGCCCGCAAGUCCAUCGAGUUCCUCGAGCAGCGAUUCGAGAGUCGGGACUCUUGCCUGCGAGCCCUGACCAGCCGUGGCAAUGAACUCGAAUCCAUCGCCUUCCGCAGUGAGGACAUCACUGGCCAGCUGGGUAACAACGAUGAUCUCAUCCUCUCCUGCUGCCUCCACUACUGCAAAGACAAGGCCAAGGACUUUAUGCCUACCAGCAAAGAGGAGCCAAUCCGGCUACUGCGGGAGGUGGUGCUGUUGACAGAUGACCGGAACCUGCGUGUGAAGGCGCUCACAAGGAAUGUUCCUGUACGGGACAUCCCAGCCUUCCUCACAUGGGCUCAAGUGGGCUGAGGGAGCCACACUGGGGCCCCCCCCGUGGAACCGUUCCUGAAAGGCCACCAGGCGCCCAGUGUAGCACGGAAGAUGCCCACGUGCCUGAGCCACCAAUCCACCCAGACAAUAAACCA
Molecule: small RNA, 900 nt
Filed under: Pongo abelii (Sumatran orangutan)
Lineage: Eukaryota; Metazoa; Chordata; Mammalia; Primates; Hominidae
Description: processed transcript
Source: RNAcentral